RNAcentral lists this ribosomal RNA (513 nucleotides) under uncultured Glomeromycotina. Its description in RNAcentral is "SSU rRNA". It matches the Rfam family "Eukaryotic small subunit ribosomal RNA", at positions 569 to 1085 of the family's 1831-position model. The record is from RNAcentral. Lineage: Eukaryota; Fungi; Glomeromycota.
AGCAGCCGCGGUAAUUCCAGCUCCAAUAGCGUAUAUUAAAGUUGUUGCAGUUAAAAAGCUCGUAGUUGAAUUUCAGGCCUGGCUGGGCGGUCCGCCCUUCGGGUGAGUACUGCCUGUGGUCGGGUCCUACCUUCUGGCGAAGCGUCAUGGCCUUCACCGGCCGUGGCGGGGAACCAGGACUUUUACUGUGAAAAAAUUAGAGUGUUCAAAGCAGGCAAUCGCUUGGAUACAUUAGCAUGGAAUAAUGGAAUAGGACAGUGGUUCUAUUUGUUGGUUUCUAGGACCGUUGUAAUGAUUAAUAGGGAUAGUUGGGGGCAUUAGUAUUCAAUUGUCAGAGGUGAAAUUCUUGGAUUUAUUGAAGACUAACUACUGCGAAAGCAAUUUGCCAAGGAUGUUUUCAUUAAUCAAGAACGAAAGUUAGGGGAUCGAAGACGAUCAGAUACCGUCGUAGUCUUAACCAUAAACUAUGCCGACUAGGAAUCGGGCGAUGUUGACAAAAUGACGCGCUCGGCA